UGAUUUAUUACUGCAUUGCUUCCUCCCAGAGUACAAGCAUGUUGAAUUUCUUCUCAUUGCAAAGAAGGUCAAUACCUGGUCAAGCAGAACAUGACAGAACAUUGAUGGUCUCAAAAGGAAAAAAAAAGAGAGAGAGAGAUUUGGGCAUGUGCACUGAACUUCUGAACUGAAGGUACUUUGCUUAUGGAAUGAAAGGGAGAACAGAGAUCAAAUUUACUUCCAAAAUCAAUACUUGGUCAUUUAAAAACAAAGAAAGAUAUCUAUUUCUACAGCAAUUAAAAUGACCAUUACCACAAGCACCAUUGGCAACUGGAAUGGAGGGAAGGUCUUUAUCUGCUUCUGGAUCUAAGCAUAAUGGAGCUGUGCCUGACUCUUCUUUCCCUCCAAAGCCCGGACAGUGGCAGUGGACAUGGAAGGAGGCCCUUUCAUCUGCUUGUAGGCCUAGGCAUGAUGGAACUACUAUAUUUAUUUGAAUAUAAUACACACCUUUUUUGGCUAAAUUAUGUUGCCAAAAUCAGCAUAUGAGCAAUACAUUUGCGUAACAGAUAAAGCAAAAUGGGAUAAAGCUCCCUUCAGGAGCACCAGCCAGAUUUGGGAAACCAAGGGAAGAUGGGAGAUGGUUUGAGAGGUGAGGAGAAAGCCCACGUGGCAAAUGGGGAGAGAGAAGCCAAGAGAUGGCUUGGGAGCCAAGGAAGAAGGGGAGGGGUGUGCGCCUGAGAGAGAAGUCAGGAGAUGGCUUGGGAGGCGGGAGGAAGCCCAUAUGGGAAGUGGGCUUUUUGUAAGAUAUAUAGAAUCCUGGAAUUUGGUAAGUUUGGUAAGGCAGCACCACCCUUUGGCUGAGAAAACUCAAGACCUUUUAAAAUGACAGCCCCUAGGAUUCCACAGCAUUGAGCCAGGGCAGUGAAAGUGGUAUUAAGCUGCAUUUAUUUUACAGCAUAGAUAGAUUCAGCCAAGGACGCUGAGGUGGGACAAACAGGAGAGGUCCCUUAAAGGAAGGGUUACCCAUUUCUCUGGCUUUACUUUCAGUUGCUAGAAGCUUUGGUGGUCUAAUACUUUUUGUUUUAAAAGGAGAAAUCCUAAGCACACAGCAACACUAACACAUCCUUUUUUGGGAACAAUUACAAGGAGUGCACUUUCCAGCAUUGCACAUUAUAUUAGCUAGCAAAUACUUCUUUUAGUUCCAGGGUUUUGAAAAUUGAGGUGUGCAUUACAUUUGAUGGCACACUAGAUUAGAGUAAAUACAAGUAUGUCUGCUUCUUCUCUCCCUCUGAGGCCAGGUUACCCACAAUACCCAACCUUUAUUUUUCAGGACUCCUCAUUUGGUAGAUCCAAUUCCCCAAGAUUGCUUUGAAUUCCCAGUUGUUCAUUUAUUAAAUAUCACUUGGAUUGGCAUGGUCCCCACUCAAUUAAAAUAACGCUGGUGAUAAUGGAAGUGCAAGGAAUACAGCAAGAAGAAGGUUUGAAUAACAAACUGCUAAUCUGCACUCAAAAAUAUUCAGCAUAACUUUCACAUUGUUUUGUUUAUGAAAACACCUUGAAUAGAUCAGAGAUCCAGCUGAGCAGGAAUGAAGUUGGUUCCUCAGGCUGAGCUCUCAACCUGCUACAUCACUUUUAUGAGAUUUACUAAUCAUGGUGGUAUACAUCACAUCUAGCAUUUGUCUUUGAUAGCUGUUUGAAAAGUUACUUUCUGGAUACAACUUCCAGUAUCCCACCUAUAUGACAUGGAUACUGUAAAGUGAUAUACAUAUUUUACAUGUAUAAAUUUUUCCUUUGCUAUUUCUAAUAAUCCUUUUAAAUAAAAAUAUUGGAAAAAGUGCACAUUUUUAAAACAUGACUUAAUAAUAAUAAUAUCUUCCAAUCUAUCACUAUUUUUGCAACUACAAGGAUUUCACAACUAAUUUAUUUUUAGUUGCACACCAGCCAAGCAACUAUAAUUUAUUUUGGUAAUCAAGUUCAUCUAGUAUUAGUCGUGAGGGGAAGAGGCUUACUUACACCACCAAUGGGGUUUUGAGAUGGCUCAAUAUUCCUAGAACCAUAUUUCUUCAAUUGUAAGACACCAUUGUAAGACAUACCCUAAUUUCAGUACUACUACCAACAACAAAAAUUCAUAAGAUACUACUAAGACGCACACCAUUUUUAGAGAUGCUCAUAUAGGAAAAAGUAUGUUUAGAAUUGAAGAAAAACAGCAUAUGCCAAGGUAGUGAGUGGGUUAGUUAUAAACAUAAUUUUAAACUAGUCAUGAUAUUAGCGAUUUUGUGGCUACUUUUAAUUGUAAUGUUUUCACAAGGACACAGUUUUCAAAACCCUUUGUACAUCCCAGGAAACUUAAGAGAACACCUUUAGAAAAUUAACAGAGGUAAAAUAAUUACUGAAAGCAUCAUUUUAUAGAUUAUUAUUUCUUCUGCAAAGAGAGAAUGCAUCUUUAAUCCCAAGCAAAAGCUCUUUAAGGUUUAUGCACUCUAUAAACCUUUCACUGAGAAUUUAAAAUAUAAGUUACUAAUGCAAUAAAUGCCCUAACAAAUAUAUCAGAUUUUUCACUUAAUGCUUUUUACAGGCUUAAACCAAACUGAGUGAAAGAAAAUCACCUUUUACAGACUGACUCUUAAAGGAAGAAUGUCUUUUUGUUAUGCUUUUUAAAAAAGGCAUGGUGGAUUUAUAUCAACUUCACUGAAUCUUGGGCAUGAUAAAAGGAAAAAAUAUAUAGUGCUGUAGUUACCAUUCUACAGCAUGCUUUCUUCGCAUUUUUAUUUUCUUAGUGCCUGGACAUGAGCCAAGGAAGGGGGGGCGGGGAAAAAAUAAAAACUCCAUAGGAAUAUUAGAAGUAGCACACCAUGCAGUCAUGAUUGCCCCCCACCCCCUUAUUCUUCAGCAACUUCAAUUGUUGGUUUUCAAAAGAAACUAAAAAAAAACAUUGGAUUUCGAAUCUAUCAUGUGAAAAUGCUGCAUGUAUAAUAAAGCCAUCCUGUUAAAUCA
Long non-coding RNA from Anolis carolinensis (green anole), 2973 nucleotides. RefSeq lists it as uncharacterized. Lineage: Eukaryota; Metazoa; Chordata; Lepidosauria; Squamata; Anolidae. The record is from RefSeq and is a predicted model, not a curated record. The transcript has 2 exons.